AGCUCAAAGGGAAAUCAGAUCUCUGUGGGCAAGGAUUGCGCUAUGUGCUAUUGCUGCCUGCUCCUUGGAGUACAUCUAUUACUGCAGCUGGGCUGAGCAGUAUAUAUAAGACAAUUCUCCGCCGGCUGUCAGAAACCAUUGCAAGAGGAGAGAUGGGGCUGCCUAAAAUCCUGAAUGCCAUCCAAGGUUUGCAGACUGCCCCCUGUGGACUGUAUGGCCUCAGUUGAGAACACCUAUUCUAUUUGGAUUGCUGGAAUUGCACACACAGUUCAAUGGAUGCACUACAGACUUUUGCAGUGGCGAUAUGGCUCUUGCUGUCCUCCAGGACCCUUUCUCAAAUAAUCACAGACUUACUUUGGGCCUCUUCACACAUUACCACAGUGGCAUGGGGACCAAUUUCCGGUGGCUUUUCCUAAUGCUGCUUUGGUAGCAUUGUAUUAAGAUCUACCUCAGAGGCCCUUCUGUGGAUCACACUGCCAUCAGACCUGGGAUAAGUGGUGACAGGAGACAGGGCCUUCUCUGUAGUGGCAACCCUGACUUUGGAAAUCUCUCCCUAGAGAUGUUCACAUCUGAGUUUGUUAUCUUUUCAACACCAGAUGAAACCCUUUACAUUCCUCCCUGCCAGCCUUUUAAAUCUUUGUUUU
Rhineura floridana is the source of this 644-nucleotide long non-coding RNA. RefSeq lists it as uncharacterized. The transcript is spliced from 3 exons. The record is from RefSeq and is a predicted model, not a curated record. Lineage: Eukaryota; Metazoa; Chordata; Lepidosauria; Squamata; Rhineuridae.